Molecule: ribosomal RNA, 1104 nt
Filed under: Triticum aestivum (bread wheat)
Lineage: Eukaryota; Viridiplantae; Streptophyta; Magnoliopsida; Poales; Poaceae
Description: partial small subunit ribosomal RNA
Source: RNAcentral
AUGGCGACCCCUCAGAUCUACCGCAAAACCCUCCUCCCCGUCCUCCUCCUGCUCGCGGCCGCGGCGCUCUACCCAGCCGCCGCCGACGGCGACGAGGUGCUUGCCCUCACGGAGUCCACCUUCGAGAAGGAGGUCGGCCAGGAUCGUGGCGCACUCGUCGAGUUCUACGCUCCCUGGUGUGGCCACUGCAAGAAGCUUGCUCCAGAAUAUGAGAAGCUUGCUGCAAGUUUUAAAAAGGCUAAAUCAGUCUUGAUUGCCAAGGUUGACUGCGAUGAGCACAAGAGUGUGUGCAGCAAGUAUGGAGUUUCUGGCUACCCCACAAUCCAGUGGUUUCCCAAAGGUUCCUUGGAGCCCAAGAAGUAUGAGGGUCAACGCACUGCUGAAGCCCUUACAGAAUAUGUUAACUCUGAAGCAGCAACCAAUGUGAAGAUAGCCGCAGUUCCUUCAAGUGUUGUGGUUCUGACCGAGGAAACCUUUGACUCGGUUGUCCUUGAUGAAACCAAAGAUGUCCUUGUUGAGUUCUAUGCCCCAUGGUGUGGUCACUGCAAGAGUCUUGCUCCGAUAUAUGAGAAGGUGGCCUCUGUUUUCAAGCAAGAUGAGGGUGUCGUGAUUGCUAAUCUUGAUGCAGACAAAUACACAAGCUUGGCUGAGAAGUAUGGAGUUUCUGGUUUUCCCACAUUGAAGUUCUUCCCGAAGGGUAACAAAGCUGGUGAAGAGUAUGAGAGCGGUCGGGAGUUGGAUGACUUUGUUAAGUUCAUUAAUGAGAAAAGUGGAACUAGCCGUGAUUCAAAGGGUCAGCUUACUUCAGAGGCUGGGCUUGUGGCAAGUUUGGAUGCUCUUGUCAAGGAAUUCCACAGUGCUGCUGAUGACAAGCGGAAGGAAAUCCUCUCUAAAAUUGAAGAGGAGGCUGCGAAGCUCAGUGGUCCUGCUGUCAAGCAUGGAAAGAUCUAUGUGAAUGUUGCAAAGAAGAUAUUGCAGAAGGGCUCUGACUAUACCAAGAAGGAAACUGAGAGGCUUCAUCGCUUGUUGGAGAAGUCGAUCAGUCCUUCCAAAGCCGAUGAAUUCGCCAUCAAGAAGAACAUUCUUUCAGCCUUCUCCUCUUAA